GAUUAAUGUUAAAGAGCAUCUGGGUUUCUGGGUUUGUGCUUCAGAAACUGAAUAUGGUAUGCUUUUUCUUCAUGUACUUCAGUGUUUGAGUUUUUGUUGAAUAGAUAUUGGAUGCUAUUUAUGUUCUUCAGAUGUAUAUUUCUGAUUCUUUAUGCUUUAUUGAGCCUUAUUCUGUAGUAUUAUUGUGCUUCAAGAUUCCUAUUUUCUCAUCUGUUUUCUAUUGUUCUUUUAGUUGGAUAUUCACUCUUGUAUAAUUUUUGAAGACACUAUGAAAAAUUACGAUGCUUCUUUUUCAAUGGAUUCUUAAAUUUUUCAAUUUUUUGUUUUCAAAGCAACUUCACAUUGCUUUCUUCCUCAACGAAUGAUGGGUUUGCUUAAUUUGGCCACCAGAAGGCCCCAUGACGUUUGAAUUCCUUAACUGCUUGUUGGGUUUGCAUUUGCAGGAGUUUUUAGGAAUACCCACUUUGAUUACUCUUCCAAUUGAGAAGAUUGUCUCUGGUGGGUUGAAAAUGUACCUGGUGGAGAGCAAAGGAGGAGCCAUAAUAUGCAUGCUGCUGUCUUUGUUCUUCUUAGGGACAUGGCCUGCUAUUUUUACUCUGCUAGAAAGACGAGGCCGUCUUCCUCAGCAUACUUACCUGGAUUAUUCCAUCACAAAUCUCCUGGCUGCUUUAUUUUUUGCUUUAACUUUUGGUGAGAUAGGGAAGAGCACACCAGAGAAACCAAAUUUUAUAACCCAACUUUCUCAGCUGAGUGAAAAUUGGCCUUCAGUCAUGUUUGCAGUGGGUGGUGGUGUGGUGCUUAGCAUUGGAAAUUUAUGCACACAGUAUGCUUUGGCUUUUGCUGGUUUAUCAGUGACAGAAGUGAUUACUGCUAGCAUGACUGUUGUAAUAGGCACAACCUUGAAUUAUUUCUUAGAUGAAAAAAUUAACAAGGCCGAGAUUCUUUUCCCUGGUGUUGGAUGCUUCUUGAUUGCAGUCUGUCUUGCUUCAGCUGUUCACUCAUCCAAUACAGCUGAUAAUAUAGCAAAGCUCAGCAGUUGGUCAAGUGAUUACAAUCUUGGAACAGAAUAUGCCUUUUCUAAUUUCCCUCUUUAUCUCCUAUUAAAUUUCUGAUGGUUAAGAAAUAAUUCGUUUAUUGAUCCAUGUAUUUUGUGAAUGUUGCAAUGUUGCUUAUCGUUUAUUGUAGUGCUUGCAAAGAAUGAACCAGUAGUAGCACUUACAUGAUAUAUGAAUUUCAUAUCAGAAAUUAUUACACUUUCUUUAGGUACAGAGGAUCUGGAAACUGGAAAUGAUACUGCAGAGAAUGUGAAAUUUGGAACGGCAGACUUCCUUGUAGAGCUUGAGAAAAGAAGAGCGAUUAAGGUUUUUGGGAAGAGCACUUUGUCUGGACUUAGCAUAGCCUUCUUUGCUGGUGUUUGCUUCUCAUUGUUCUCACCAGCUUUUAACUUGGCAACAAAUGAUCAAUGGCACGCCUUGAAGAAAGGGGUUGCUAAGUUGGUUGUCUACACUGCAUUUUUUUGGUUUUCAAUCUCUUGUUUUGCACUUGCCAUCAUUCUCAAUGUUAUCUUCCUUUAUCGCCCAUUGCUGAAUUUACCCAGAUCAUCAGUGAAGUCUUAUCUGAAAGACUGGAAUGGCAGAGGUUGGGCGUUUUUGGCUGGUCUCCUUUGUGGGUUUGGAAAUGGUCUCCAAUUUAUGGGUGGUGAAGCAGCAGGAUAUGCAGCUGCAGAUGCAGUUCAGGUUUGUUCUAGUGAAUGCACAAAUGAAAUAAUCAUUUUGCUGAUGAUUCUGAAAAUGGUUUAUAACUUCAUUUAGUCAGUGACAAUCUUGAUUUUCACACAAUUAUGUUCAACGUAGAGCUGAAUGACGAAAAAUGAUUUAUAUAGGUACUCCAACUAAUUUAAAAUUAAGGCUUAAUUGUUGUUAUGUGUUUAACAUAGAGAGCUUAGGUUUCAUUUGACUUAUAAUUUCACCAAAACUUUCAAUUUUGUGGUGGUGAUUUCAGGCACUGCCACUUGUUUCCACUUUUUGGGGCAUAGUUUUGUUUGGAGAGUACCAGAGAUCAUCAAGAAGAACAUAUGUAUUACUAGCCAGCAUGUUGUUAAUGUUUAUUGUAGCUGUUGCAAUUCUAAUGGCAUCAGCAGGGCAUCGAAAGUGAGCUCAGAACGUCAUAACAUGCCUGGAAACUGUACAGAAAAUAGAUUAUUAAGCAGUUCCAUGGUUGAUCAGACAGUCAAUAAAAGAAGUCAUGUAAAAUUUGUUAAUACACCCAUUGGAAGGGAGCUGCUUCCUAAUUCAAGAAAAGAAUCCUGGAUUUCUGUCUAUGAAAUUAUAAUAAAGCAAUAGUAACAGAUUGGUUUUUGGAGGGAGAAAGGUAGACAAGAACAUUAAUAUUGGAAUUCUUGAAGGAUCUUCUGUCAGGAGUUGGUUUGUCUUGAUUUAUUUAACAAAUCCUUGAGUAGAGUCCAUUACUGUGAUGCUUGUACCGGUUUAAUCUUGUUUUCUUCAUUUUCAUCUCUCUCUUUUACAUCACCAUCAUCACUUCUAUGCUUCUCAAGAACAGGAGAUUCAAGUGAUCUUCAAAAAUCUGAAAUGAAAAGACAAGCAUGGGAAUUCUCUUUAUUUAUUUGUAAUGUUCUUAAGAAGAUGAGAUGAGCUGUGGCAUGGAAAAUAUUUACUGAAUGGGAUGGCUGUUUGUAUUACAAAAUAAACAUUGGUAUUGCGUACAAUCUUAUGACUUGUAGCUGGAGUUGAGUGUUCAGUUAAUCAAACUGAAAUAAAU
RNAcentral lists this unclassified non-coding RNA (2778 nucleotides) under Hevea brasiliensis (rubber tree). The record is from RNAcentral. Lineage: Eukaryota; Viridiplantae; Streptophyta; Magnoliopsida; Malpighiales; Euphorbiaceae.